This 297-nucleotide ribosomal RNA is filed under the name uncultured bacterium. RNAcentral's name for it is "partial 16S ribosomal RNA". It matches the Rfam family "Bacterial small subunit ribosomal RNA", at positions 475 to 776 of the family's 1533-position model. The record is from RNAcentral.
CUAUGCGCCUUGCCAGCCCGCUCAGGUGUGCCAGCCGCCGCGGUAAUACAGAGGUCUCAAGCGUUGUUCGGAAUCACUGGGCGUAAAGCGUGCGUAGGCGGUUUCGUAAGUCGUGUGUGAAAGGCGGGGGCUCAACCCCCGGACUGCACAUGAUACUGCGAGACUAGAGUAAUGGGGGGGAACCGGAAUUCUCGGUGUAGCAGUGAAAUGCGUAGAUAUCGAGAGGAACACUCGUGGCGAAGGCGGGUUCCUGGACAUUAACUGACGCUGAGGCACGAAGGCCAGGGAGCGAAAGGG